RNAcentral lists this ribosomal RNA (450 nucleotides) under uncultured bacterium. RNAcentral describes it as "partial 16S ribosomal RNA". It matches the Rfam family "Bacterial small subunit ribosomal RNA", at positions 354 to 796 of the family's 1533-position model. The record is from RNAcentral.
GUGGGGAAUAUUGGACAAUGGGCGAAAGCCUGAUCCAGCCAUGCCGCGUGUGUGAAGAAGGUCUUCGGAUUGUAAAGCACUUUAAGUUGGGAGGAAGGGUUGUAGAUUAAUACUCUGCAAUUUUGACGUCACCGACAGAAUAAGCACCGGCUAACUUCGUGCCAGCAGCCGCGGUAAUACGAAGGGUGCAAGCGUUAAUCGGAAUUACUGGGCUUAAAGCGCGCGUAGGUGGUUCAGUAAGUUGGAUGUGAAAUCCCCGGGCUCAACCUGGGAACUGCAUCCAAAACUGCUGAGCUAGAGUACGGUAGAGGGUGGUGGAAUUUCCUGUGUAGCGGUGAAAUGCGUAGAUAUAGGAAGGAACACCAGUGGCGAAGGCGACCACCUGGACUGAUACUGACACUGAUGUGCGAAAGCGUGGGGAGCAAACAGGAUUAGAUACCCCUGUAGUCC